Long non-coding RNA from Triticum urartu, 1438 nucleotides. RefSeq lists it as uncharacterized. NCBI's taxonomy places the organism in Eukaryota, Viridiplantae, Streptophyta, Magnoliopsida, Poales, Poaceae. The record is from RefSeq and is a predicted model, not a curated record.
AACCCACUCAUCCCGACCCUAUCCUCUCGAACCCACCCACUCCUUUCUCUCAUGCUCCAUCCAAUCUCCGCAACUUCCCCCACCCAGCUCGCCGCCGCACCACCUGCCUCCUCACCCGGCUGCCGCACCACCUGCCUUCCCACCCCGUCACCAGCCAGGGCUCGUGCCGGCCCGCCGCCUCUCAUCUCCAACCGCACCUCCUUGCCGGCCGUCCCGCCCUGUCCUUUUUCCUCUCGGAGCGCCCAUACCUCCUUCUCCCCGUGGCGCGUCGCCCCUCCCCCCCGCGGGCCGCCCCCCGCCCCACCCCUCUCGGUACUGCCUCCUAACGCCGGCGAGCACAAGUUCCGUGCCUUCCCUUCCCUAACCUCCCCCCCCACUGUUUCCCGGAUCUGCAUCUGCCAUGGAGAUGGCGCGGUUCCCCUCCCGGCGAGAUCUGGACAUGGGCACCCUCCCCUGUUGGCCUCAGAUCUGGCCGUGACUAGGGGUAGGGGCAUGCUGCCUGCGCGCAUCAGUAAGCUAUAGGUCCUCCCUGAUGCCGCCGCUUUCACCACCGGUCGCCGGACUGCCGGUCCUCUCCACUCUCCCUUCUCCAAUGACCGCCCCAAGUUUGUUGUUGUUUCCUCCCGCCAGCAUCGUCCAAACGUGCCCCGCGGUGAGAUCCCCAUGUCCCACGUGCUUCAUUGGACCUGCAUUCCUCCAACACAUGCGCCCCGCACGGGCUGCCUCAGGGACGCCAGGACAAACUGCAACCGGCCAAGAGCAAUCCAUAGCCCACCAUGGCCUGUGACGCCACUACUGGACUCUGGUUGCUUCUUCAUUGCAGCUCGGUUGGGUCGUCGGUGCAGUACGCAGGCACCUGAGAGGACGACGGGCGUGUAGUUUGGUUUCGGCCAUGUGUCACUCCGGUAUGGUUGCGCGCGUCAUGCAUUUUACUCGGGUGUGCACAGAAGGUUCUUGUAAUCCGUCGGCGUGCAGUUUCGACAGCGGUUCGUCAGCUCGUCCUGUGCAGCUCAGUUUCUGCAGGCACACGAUGCGGCAUUUCGCAUGGUGCAGUUCGGCAGCGGUUCGACAACAUGUCUUGUUUUGCAUCUGGUGCCAUUGUGUGUGCAUUUUAGUAGUUGGCUGCCCCGUGUAGUUCAGCUAAUGUGUUUGUAUAUUUAUCUAUAGAGAAGGAUUUUUUUUGCAGAUUUGGGAUGUACAAUUCAUCUCAUGUGGUUGCAGUGCGCUUGCGCGUACGGUCCAGUGAUAUUUUCAUAUUUUUGUUCAAGUUUACCCCCAACCAUUAAAUCAGUUUGUAAUUUUGCCCGAUGACUUGCGGUUCACUUGGUUAUACCAAAAAAGGUAUGGGCUUGUUUGUAGGGUAUGGUGCAGUUCUUUUGUAUUCGUCCCUGUGUCAAAACUGUAAAAAAUGAAUGCAGUUCAAUUUUCCUUUAAUGUU